This 671-nucleotide long non-coding RNA is filed under the name Drosophila guanche. The record is from RNAcentral. Lineage: Eukaryota; Metazoa; Arthropoda; Insecta; Diptera; Drosophilidae.
AGUGUGAGCGAUGAAAACAGCGUUGGCGCAGCACAGCUCAUUGAUCAGACGAUGAACAUCAGAUAGCAGACUGCAGCUCCAGCUCGAAAACAUCAUCACAUCCGUUCUUGUGAACUCCUCUCUCGAGUUCGAAGUAUCGGCAUUGUAAAUGGUUCAGCAGGACAGCAGGUUCAGGACAGCCCAAUCGAUGCUGCCCAGGCAAGCGGCAGUGACCCUCCUUCUAGAGCGAAUAGAGAAAGGCCACAGUCUGAAUGGUCUUUCCGAGGCCCAUCUCAUCGGCUAGAAUGGUGUCGAUGGCCGGUCGAGGCUCUUCAGGUACUUUAUCCGAUUUUGAGAUAUUUUAAUUAGUAUUGAUUCAAGUUCAUCCCACCGUAGUGUGAGCGAUGAAAACAGCGCUGGCGCAGCACAGCUCAUUGAUCAGACGAUGAACAUCAGACAGCAGAUUGCAGCUCCAGCUCGAAAACAUCAUCACAUCCGUUCUUGUGAACUCUUCUCUCGAGUUCGAAGUAUCGGCAUUGUGGAUGGUUCAGCAGAACAGCAGGUUCAGGACAGCCCAAUAGAUGCUGCCCAGGCAAGCGGCAGUGACCCUCCUUCUAGAGCGAAUAGAGAAAGGCCACAGUCUGAAUGGUCUUGCCGAGGCCCAUCUCAUCGGCUAGAAUGGUGUCGAUGGC